GAUGAACGCUGGCGGCGUGCCUAAUACAUGCAAGUCGAGCGAACGGACGAGAAGCUUGCUUUUCUGAUGUUAGCGGCGGACGGGUGAGUAACACGUGGAUAACCUACCUAUAAGACUGGGAUAACUUCGGGAAACCGGAGCUAAUACCGGAUAAUAUUUUGAACCGCAUGGUUCAAAAGUGAAAGACGGUCUUGCCGUCACUUAUAGAUGGAUCCGCGCUGCAUUAGCUAGUUGGUAAGGUAACGGCUUACCAAGGCAACGAUGCAUAGCCGACCUGAGAGGGUGAUCGGCCGCGGUGGAACUGAGACACGGUCCAGACUCCUACGGGAGGCAGCAGUAGGGAAUCUUCCGCAAUGGGCGAAAGCCUGACGGAGCAACGCCGCGUGAGUGAUGAAGGUCUUCGGAUCGUAAAACUCUGUUAUUAGGGAAGAACAUAUGUGUAAGUAACUGUGCACAUCUUGACGGUACCUAAUCAGAAAGCCACGGCUAACUACGUG
Molecule: ribosomal RNA, 497 nt
Filed under: uncultured bacterium
Lineage: Bacteria
Description: partial 16S ribosomal RNA
Rfam family: Bacterial small subunit ribosomal RNA
Source: RNAcentral